CCUACGGGAGGCAGCAGUGGGGAAUAUUGCACAAUGGAGGAAACCCUGAUGCAGCGACGCCGCGUGAGUGAAGAAGUAAUUCGUUAUGUAAAGCUCUAUUAGCAGGGAAGAAAAUGACGGUACCUGAGUAAGAAGCCCCGGCUAACUACGUGCCAGCAGCCGCGGUAAUACGUCGGGGGCAAGCGUUAUCCGGAUUUACUGGGUGUAAAGGGAGCGUAGACGGCGGUGCAAGUCUGGAGUGAAAGGCGGGGGCACAAACCCCGGACUGCUCUGGAAACUGUACGGCUGGAGUGCAGGAGAGGUAAAUGGAAUGCGUGGUGGAGCGGUGAAAUGCGUAGAUAUUAGGAGGAACACCAGUGGCGAAGGCGGCUUACUGGACUGUAACUGACGUUGAGGCUCGAAAGCGUGGGGAGCAAACAGGAUUAGAUACCCUGGUAGUC
This 440-nucleotide ribosomal RNA is filed under the name uncultured bacterium. RNAcentral describes it as "partial 16S ribosomal RNA". It matches the Rfam family "Bacterial small subunit ribosomal RNA", at positions 338 to 795 of the family's 1533-position model. The record is from RNAcentral.